Bombyx mori (domestic silkworm) is the source of this 74-nucleotide non-coding RNA. Lineage: Eukaryota; Metazoa; Arthropoda; Insecta; Lepidoptera; Bombycidae. The record is from Rfam.
UGAACUCAAAUUUGUAUGGAGUUGGAACGUUCGCCGCUAGGGGCGUUGUUCCAACUGCAUACAAAUUUGAGUUA